Molecule: long non-coding RNA, 327 nt
Organism: Pistacia vera
Lineage: Eukaryota; Viridiplantae; Streptophyta; Magnoliopsida; Sapindales; Anacardiaceae
Exons: 3
Source: RefSeq, a predicted model, not a curated record
UGAAGCAGCUUAUCUUCUUCAAAGAUAUCAACUGGGACGCUUUGGCCAGGCAGAGGGCUGCAUUUACAAAAGUUUCCUAUUUUGUAAUUGCUCUUUUGUUAUCCGCAAAUUCUAAUGCCCGAGAAGGACGGGUUAUGAUUUUCAAUCUGGUGGAGGCUGCUCAAGAAUUCCUGUCUGAAAUUGUUCCAGUGGGCCAGUCUAAUGAAUCUGUGAUGUUGCUGCCCUAGGUUGGUGGGAUUUGUUUAUAAAUUUUGGGCAAAAUUUAGCGGUCUUUAUAGCAAUGUUUGAUGAUUGGAGUUAUCUUUUUGUGUCUAUAUGAGUGUUGGA